This 483-nucleotide ribosomal RNA is filed under the name uncultured bacterium. Its description in RNAcentral is "partial 16S ribosomal RNA". It matches the Rfam family "Bacterial small subunit ribosomal RNA", at positions 30 to 507 of the family's 1533-position model. The record is from RNAcentral.
AUUGAACGCUGGCGGCAGGCCUAACACAUGCAAGUCGAGCGGAUGAAGGGAGCUUGCUCCUGGAUUCAGCGGCGGACGGGUGAGUAAUGCCUAGGAAUCUGCCUGGUAGUGGGGGAUAACGUCCGGAAACGGGCGCUAAUACCGCAUACGUCCUGAGGGAGAAAGUGGGGGAUCUUCGGACCUCACGCUAUCAGAUGAGCCUAGGUCGGAUUAGCUAGUUGGUGGGGUAAAGGCCUACCAAGGCGACGAUCCGUAACUGGUCUGAGAGGAUGAUCAGUCAAACUGGAACUGAGACACGGUCCAGACUCCUACGGGAGGCAGCAGUGGGGAAUAUUGGACAAUGGGCGAAAGCCUGAUCCAGCCAUGCCGCGUGUGUGAAGAAGGUCUUCGGAUUGUAAAGCACUUUAAGUUGGGAGGAAGGGCAGUAAGUUAAUACCUUGCUGUUUGACGUUACCAACAGAAUAAGCACCGGCUAACUUCGUG